AUAGAUACCUGGUAGUCCACGCCCUAAACGAUGCGAACUGGAUGUUGGGUACAUUACGGUACUCAGUGUCGAAGCUAACGCGUUAAGUUCGCCGCCUGGGGAGUACGGUCGCAAGACUGAAACUCAAAGGAAUUGACGGGGGCCCGCACAAGCGGUGGAGUAUGUGGUUUAAUUCGAUGCAACGCGAAGAACCUUACCUGGCCUUGACAUCUGUCGGAUCCUGCAGAGAUGCGGGAGUGCCGCAAGGAACGACAAGACAGGUGCUGCAUGGCUGUCGUCAGCUCGUGUCGUGAGAUGUUGGGUUAAGUCCCGCAACGAGCGCAACCCUUGUCCCUAGUUGCCAACACGUAAUGGUGGGAACUCUAGGGAGACUGCCGGUGACAAACCGGAGGAAGGUGGGGAUGACGUCAAGUCCUCAUGGCCCUUACGGCCAGGGCUACACACGUACUACAAUGGUCGGUACAGAGGGUCGCGAAGCCGCAAGGUGGAGCCAAUCCCAGAAAACCGAUCCCAGUCCGGAUUGGAGUCUGCAACUCG
This 537-nucleotide ribosomal RNA is filed under the name uncultured bacterium. RNAcentral describes it as "bacterial SSU rRNA". It matches the Rfam family "Bacterial small subunit ribosomal RNA", at positions 778 to 1314 of the family's 1533-position model. The record is from RNAcentral.